Molecule: long non-coding RNA, 244 nt
Organism: Scophthalmus maximus (turbot)
Lineage: Eukaryota; Metazoa; Chordata; Actinopteri; Pleuronectiformes; Scophthalmidae
Exons: 3
Source: RefSeq, a predicted model, not a curated record
AGGGAGAGGAGGAGGAGGAGGAGGGACGACGAGGACGAGGAAACUGACGGGACGUGAGUCGAGGCUGCGGAGCCCAACAUCCGCAAAGACACGCGACAGAAACACGAAAAGAUUCGUGUUUUCCCUCCGGAAGUGACAUAUAUUCUCUGAAUCACAUUGAACUUUGACCAAAGAAAUUGAAAUGCAGAACUCCCAUCGAUUCCAAGGGCUUUCCUUCUACGACGCAACAGCUCGCUUGGACAGG